AUAACGAACGAGACCUUAACCUGCUAAAUAGCCAGGCCCGCUUCGGCGGGUCGCCGGCUUCUUAGAGGGACUAUCGGCUCAAGCCGAUGGAAGUUUGAGGCAAUAACAGGUCUGUGAUGCCCUUAGAUGUUCUGGGCCGCACGCGCGCUACACUGACAGAGCCAACGAGUUCAUCACCUUGGCCGGAAGGUCUGGGUAAUCUUGUUAAACUCUGUCGUGCUGGGGAUAGGGCAUUGCAAUUAUUGCCCUUCAACGAGGAAUGCCUAGUAAGCGCAUGUCAUCAGCAUGCGUUGAUUACGUCCCUGCCCUUUGUACACACCGCCCGUCGCUACUACCGAUUGAAUGG
This 346-nucleotide ribosomal RNA is filed under the name Neoceratosperma marasasii. RNAcentral describes it as "SSU rRNA". It matches the Rfam family "Eukaryotic small subunit ribosomal RNA", at positions 1328 to 1696 of the family's 1831-position model. Lineage: Eukaryota; Fungi; Ascomycota; Dothideomycetes; Mycosphaerellales; Mycosphaerellaceae. The record is from RNAcentral.